This 446-nucleotide ribosomal RNA is filed under the name uncultured bacterium. RNAcentral's name for it is "partial 16S ribosomal RNA". It matches the Rfam family "Bacterial small subunit ribosomal RNA", at positions 338 to 795 of the family's 1533-position model. The record is from RNAcentral.
CCUACGGGUGGCAGCAGUCGAGAAUCAUUCACAAUGGGGGAAACCCUGAUGGUGCGACGCCGCGUGGGGGAAUGAAGGUCUUCGGAUUGUAAACCCCUGUCAUGUGGGAGCAAAUUAAAAAGAUAGUACCACAAGAGGAAGAGACGGCGAACACUGGGCCAGCAGCCGCGGUAAUACAGAGGUCUCAAGCGUUGUUCGGAAUCACUGGGCGUAACGCGUGCGUAGGCUGUAUCGUAAGUCGUGUGUGAAAGGCGCGGGCUCAACCCGCGGACGGCACAUGAUACUGCGGGACUAGAGUGAUGGAGAGGGAACCGGAAUUCUCGGUGUAGCAGUGAAAUGCGUAGAUAUCGGGAGGAACACUCGUGGCGAAGGCGGGUUCCUGGACAUUAACUGACGCUGAGGCACGAAGGCCAGGGGAGCGAAAGGGAUUAGAUACCCCGGUAGUC